GGGGGCGACCGGUUUCGACUGGUAUGCUGCAAGUCUGGGAGCAGGCCGAGCGAUGGGCGUAAGCCAUCACCAAAAGAAUUGACAACAACUACGCACUGGCGGCUUAGUUAAGCUGCCGCCCAACCGGUCGGGAGCGCUCGCAGAACCGGAAGGGCUAUCAACGCGAGCAUCGUAUAGGGUCCGUAUCGGAUGGGAAGUUUCGGUGUUUUGUCCGUCACACCGCACUUCUCCCGUAGUUAAAGAGACGUACUAAGCCUGUAGUCGCCCAUUCAUACACAGUAUGUCAGGACCGGGGUUCAACUCCCCGCGCCUCCACCA
This 318-nucleotide transfer-messenger RNA is filed under the name Dethiosulfovibrio salsuginis. RNAcentral describes it as "Standard tmRNA". It matches the Rfam family "transfer-messenger RNA". From Rfam's summary of the family: Bacterial tmRNA, also known as 10Sa RNA or SsrA, is named for its dual tRNA and mRNA-like properties. Its role is to liberate the mRNA from a stalled ribosome. Lineage: Bacteria; Thermotogati; Synergistota; Synergistia; Synergistales; Dethiosulfovibrionaceae. The record is from RNAcentral.